Molecule: ribosomal RNA, 746 nt
Filed under: uncultured Anaerococcus sp.
Lineage: Bacteria; Bacillati; Bacillota; Tissierellia; Tissierellales; Peptoniphilaceae
Description: bacterial SSU rRNA
Rfam family: Bacterial small subunit ribosomal RNA
Source: RNAcentral
GAUAAACGCAGGCGGCGUGCAUAACACAUGCAAGUCGAACGAUGAGACUGAGCUGAUUUUUUUGGGAUCGAAAUUAAGUGGAUUAGUGGCGAACGGGUGAGUAACACUUGAGUAACCUGCCUUACACAAGGGGAUAGCCUUCGGAAACGAAGAAUAAUACCCUAGGACGUCAAAAUAUCGCAUGAUAUAGUGACCAAAGAUUGAUCGGUGUAAGACGGACAUGCGUGUGAUAAGCUAGUUGGUGAGAUAAAAGCCCACCAAGGCGACGAUCAGUAGCCGGCUUGAGAGAGUGUACGGCCACAUUGGGACUCAGACACGGCCCAAACUCUUACGGGAGGCAGCAGUGGGGAAUUUUGCACAAUGGGGGAAACCCUGAUGCAGCGACGCCGCGUGAUUUAGAAGGCCUUCGGGUUGUAAAAAUCUUUUUUAUGGGAUGAAAAUGACAGUACCAUAAGAAUAAGGUCCGGCUAAAUACGUGCCAGCAGCCGCGGUAAUAAGUUUGGACCCAGCGUUGUCUGGAAUCAUUGGGCGUAAAGGGUACGUAGGCGGCCUAGUAAGUUAGAAGUGAAAUAAUAUAGCUCAACUAUAUAAAGCUUUUAAAACUGUUAGGCGUAAGAGAUGAAAGGGAAAGUGGAAUUCCUAGUGUAGCGGUGAAAUGCGCAGAUAUUAGGAAGAAUACCGGUGGCGAAGGCGACUUUCUGGUCAUCAUCUGACGCUGAGGUACGAAAGCGUGGGUAGCAAACAGG